AUGCGAUUUCGGUCAAAUCUUGUGGCAUUUUAGUGGCGGACGGGUGAGUAACGCGUGGGUAACCUGCCUCACACUGGGGGAUAACACUUAGAAAUAGGUGCUAAUACCGCAUAAGCGCACGGGACUGCAUGGUCUUGUGUGAAAAACUCCGGUGGUGUGAGAUGGACCCGCGUCUGAUUAGCUGGUUGGCGGGGUAACGGCCCACCAAGGCGACGAUCAGUAGCCGGCCUGAGAGGGUGGACGGCCACAUUGGGACUGAGACACGGCCCAAACUCCUACGGGAGGCAGCAGUGGGGGAUAUUGGACAAUGGGGGGAACCCUGAUCCAGCGACGCCGCGUGAGUGAAGAAGUAUUUCGGUAUGUAAAGCUCUGUCAGCAGGGAAGAAAUCAUGACGGUACCUGACCAAGAAGCCCCGGCUAACUACGUGCCAGCAGCCGCGGUAAUACGUAGGGGGCAAGCGUUAUCCGGAAUUACUGGGUGUAAAGGGAGCGUAGACGGUUAAGUAAGUCUGGAGUGAAAGGCUGGGGCCCAACCCCGGGACUGCUCUGGAAACUAUUUAACUUGAGUGCAGGAGAGGUAAGCGGAAUUCCUAGUGUAGCGGUGAAAUGCGUAGAUAUUAGGAGGAACACCAGUGGCGAAGGCGGCUUACUGGACUGUAACUGACGUUGAGGCUCGAAAGCGUGGGGAGCAAACAGGAUUAGAUACCCUGGUAGUCCACGCCGUAAACGAUGAUUACUAGGUGUCGGUGGGUAUGGACCCAUCGGUGCCG
RNAcentral lists this ribosomal RNA (770 nucleotides) under uncultured bacterium. RNAcentral describes it as "bacterial SSU rRNA". It matches the Rfam family "Bacterial small subunit ribosomal RNA", at positions 64 to 848 of the family's 1533-position model. The record is from RNAcentral.